CGGGAGUCCUAUUUUCAAUAGUGGAGUUUUGUGUUCAGGAUUAUAAUUAACGUUAUUUUGCGAUAUAAAAUUAUACUAAUAUACAGUAUUUUUUAUUAAUUAUGUAUAAGGAAUAUAUGAAUAUCAUAACUAUAAGAUUUCAAGAAAAUAGAAGUGUGAAACAAGUUAAAACCAUCUUUGAACCAAACUGAAGGAUUUAAAAAUUGAUAAAGAUUGCAAAAAUUGAGAUUCUAAAUUGCCAUCAUUUAUUAUGGCUUCCAUUAUUGCAUACAUAUGAAUAAAUGAGGCUAUCGCUUCUUCAGUGGGGGCAGAAAGGCCCCCUCUUUCAACAGAAUGGGACCCAUAACCAGAAAUAUAAAUUUUAAUGGAAUCAUCUACAACACAAUCGGACAAGUAUUCGGUAUCGAAGAUUCCUGAGAAACAAGUCACAUCAGUAGGAAGAUCAUGAAGAUCGUUAUUAUUGUCAUC
Long non-coding RNA from Colletes gigas, 468 nucleotides. RefSeq lists it as uncharacterized. The transcript has 4 exons. The record is from RefSeq and is a predicted model, not a curated record. NCBI's taxonomy places the organism in Eukaryota, Metazoa, Arthropoda, Insecta, Hymenoptera, Colletidae.